Molecule: ribosomal RNA, 386 nt
Filed under: Enterococcus sp.
Lineage: Bacteria; Bacillati; Bacillota; Bacilli; Lactobacillales; Enterococcaceae
Description: bacterial SSU rRNA
Rfam family: Bacterial small subunit ribosomal RNA
Source: RNAcentral
CGAUGCAUAGCCGACCUGAGCCAUGAUCAAACUCUACUGGGACUGAGACACGGCCCAGACUCCUACGGGAGGCAGCAGUAGGGAAUCUUCGGCAAUGGACGAAAGUCUGACCGAGCAACGCCGCGUGAGUGAAGAAGGUUUUCGGAUCGUAAAACUCUGUUGUUAGAGAAGAACAAGGACGUUAGUAACUGAACGUCCCCUGACGGUAUCUAACCAGAAAGCCACGGCUAACUACGUGCCAGCAGCCGCGGUAAUACGUAGGUUGGCAAGCGUUGUCCGGAUUUAUUUGGGCGUAAAGCGAGCGCAGGCGGUUUCUUAAGUCUGAUGUGAAAGCCCCCCGGCUCAACCGGGGAGGGUCAUUGGAAACUGGGAGACUUGGAGUGCAG